AUGAAGGAUUCCCGUAUGGGCUCUAAAAGGGAUUUUGAUAUGUUUCCUCAGAAUUAUAUUUUAAGUCCAAAAAUGUUUAAAUCCAACCAAAUUGUUAUCAGUACAAAAAACCCUAAGUUACACACACACAUAUAUAUAUAUAUAUAUAUAUAUAUAUAUAUAAAAGCAUUGAUUGAAAGCUACAGAGGGAGGGGGAUUCAUCGACUGACAAAUUUCAGAAUAAACUCAGAAAAUGAAAAUAGAACCUCUCCUCUGAAUCCUCACCGGAGCAAAUGGUUAGAAUCCUUUCGCCGGAACUCUACCCUAAUCGUCUGA
Non-coding RNA from Vicia faba (fava bean), 315 nucleotides. The record is from the annotation of a GenBank genome assembly. Lineage: Eukaryota; Viridiplantae; Streptophyta; Magnoliopsida; Fabales; Fabaceae.